Molecule: ribosomal RNA, 253 nt
Filed under: uncultured bacterium
Lineage: Bacteria
Description: partial 16S ribosomal RNA
Rfam family: Bacterial small subunit ribosomal RNA
Source: RNAcentral
UACGGAGGGUGCAAGCGUUAUCCGGAUUCACUGGGUUUAAAGGGUGCGUAGGCGGACAGGUAAGUCAGUGGUGAAAUCUCUGGGCUUAACUCAGAAACUGCCGUUGAUACUAUUUGUCUUGAAUAUCUUGGAGGUAAGCGGAAUAUGUCAUGUAGCGGUGAAAUGCUUAGAUAUGACAUAGAACACCAAUUGCGAAGGCAGCUGGCUACACGAAUAUUGACACUCAGGCACGAAAGCGUGGGGAUCAAACAGG